GCCCGGCUGGCUUCGUUGGUAGAGCAUGUGACUCUUGAUCUUGGGGUUGUGAGUUUGAGCCCCAUGUUGGGUG
RNAcentral lists this transfer RNA (73 nucleotides) under Felis catus (domestic cat). It matches the Rfam family "tRNA". Rfam says of the family: Transfer RNA (tRNA) molecules are approximately 80 nucleotides in length. Their secondary structure includes four short double-helical elements and three loops (D, anti-codon, and T loops). The record is from Rfam by way of RNAcentral. RNAcentral also lists the same sequence under 1 other name. Lineage: Eukaryota; Metazoa; Chordata; Mammalia; Carnivora; Felidae.